GAGUUUGUAUCCUGGCUCAGGAUGAACGCUAGCUACAGGCUUAACACAUGCAAGUCGAGGGGCGAGCAUGAACUUAGCUUGCUAAGUUUGAUGGCGACCGGCGCACGGGUGAGUAACACGUAUCCAACCUGCCGAUGACUCGGGGAUAGCCUUUACGAAAGAAAGAUUAAUACCCGAUGGCAUAGUUCUUCCGCAUGGUAGAACUAUUAAAGAAUUUCGGUCAUCGAUGGGAUGCGUU
This 238-nucleotide ribosomal RNA is filed under the name uncultured bacterium. RNAcentral's name for it is "partial 16S ribosomal RNA". It matches the Rfam family "Bacterial small subunit ribosomal RNA", at positions 9 to 237 of the family's 1533-position model. The record is from RNAcentral.